GACCUCAAAUCAGGUAGGAUACCCGCUGAACUUAAGCAUAUCAAUAAGCG
This 50-nucleotide ribosomal RNA is filed under the name Neosarcodon atroviridis. RNAcentral's name for it is "Sarcodon atroviridis partial 28S ribosomal RNA". The record is from RNAcentral. Lineage: Eukaryota; Fungi; Basidiomycota; Agaricomycetes; Thelephorales; Thelephoraceae.